This 468-nucleotide ribosomal RNA is filed under the name uncultured bacterium. RNAcentral describes it as "partial 16S ribosomal RNA". It matches the Rfam family "Bacterial small subunit ribosomal RNA", at positions 28 to 507 of the family's 1533-position model. The record is from RNAcentral.
GACGAACGCUGGCGGCGUGCUUAACACAUGCAAGUCGAACGGAAAGGCCCUGCUUUUGUGGGGUGCUCGAGUGGCGAACGGGUGAGUAACACGUGAGUAACCUGCCCUUGACUUUGGGAUAACUUCAGGAAACUGGGGCUAAUACCGGAUAGGAGCUCCUGCUGCAUGGUGGGGGUUGGAAAGAUUCGGCGGUUGGGGAUGGACUCGCGGCUUAUCAGCUUGUUGGUGGGGUAGUGGCUUACCAAGGCUUUGACGGGUAGCCGGCCUGAGAGGGUGACCGGCCACAUUGGGACUGAGAUACGGCCCAGACUCCUACGGGAGGCAGCGGUGGGGAAUAUUGCACAAUGGGCGGAAGCCUGAUGCAGCAACGCCGCGUGCGGGAUGACGGCCUUCGGGUUGUAAACCGCUUUCGCCUGUGACGAAGCGUGAGUGACGGUAAUGGGUAAAGAAGCACCGGCUAACUACGUG